Molecule: long non-coding RNA, 337 nt
Organism: Pseudophryne corroboree (corroboree frog)
Lineage: Eukaryota; Metazoa; Chordata; Amphibia; Anura; Myobatrachidae
Exons: 2
Source: RefSeq, a predicted model, not a curated record
CUCCAGGGCCCUUCCAGUUAAGUAAGCCAGCCGAGUGAAGCUCUCUGUUCCUCCAUCAGGCUGAUGAUAGCCAAAGGACACUGAUAUGACGCACACGGCUGAAUGUAAGAAGAUGUGCCGUGGGACGGCCGCACGAGAGCAAAAACAUUCUUCUGUGUGAGAAAAAAAAUAAUAGAAGGAAAAUAAAUGAGAGAGCCGCCCGGCACGGAGAGCAACCCUGCAAGGGAAAGAGCGGCCAAUGUGAAUAGGGAAGAGGCGAAGCCAAACAUGGAAGGAAAUGAAAAUAUAAAUCAAUAUUAGUGUUUCAAUAUAAAAAUAAAAAUGAUCCCACAAUUGA